UAAUUGAAGAGUUUGAUCAUGGCUCAGAUUGAACGCUGGCGGCAGGCCUAACACAUGCAAGUCGAGCGGUAACAGGAGAAAGCUUGCUUUCUUGCUGACGAGCGGCGGACGGGUGAGUAAUGUAUGGGGAUCUGCCCGAUAGAGGGGGAUAACUACUGGAAACGGUGGCUAAUACCGCAUAAUGUCUACGGACCAAAGCAGGGGCUCUUCGGACCUUGC
This 219-nucleotide ribosomal RNA is filed under the name Proteus mirabilis. RNAcentral describes it as "partial 16S ribosomal RNA". It matches the Rfam family "Bacterial small subunit ribosomal RNA", at positions 1 to 216 of the family's 1533-position model. The record is from RNAcentral. Lineage: Bacteria; Pseudomonadati; Pseudomonadota; Gammaproteobacteria; Enterobacterales; Morganellaceae.